CCUACGGGGUGCAGCAGUCGGGAAUUUUGCGCAAUGGGCGAAAGCCUGACGCAGCAACGCCGCGUGAGGGAUGAAGGCCUUCGGGUUGUAAACCUCUUUUCUCAGGGAAGAUAAUGACGGUACCUGAGGAAUAAGCCACGGCUAACUACGUGCCAGCAGCCGCGGUAAUACGAAGGGGGCUAGCGUUGCUCGGAAUGACUGGGCGUAAAGGGCGCGUAGGCGGUUUAUGCAGUCAGAUGUGAAAUCCCCGGGCUUAGCCUGGGAACUGCAUUUGAGACGCAUAGACUAGAGGUCGAGAGAGGGUUGUGGAAUUCCCAGUGUAGAGGUGAAAUUCGUAGAUAUUGGGAAGAACACCGGUGGCGAAGGCGGCAACCUGGCUCGAUACUGACACUGAGAGACGAAAGCUAGGGGAGCGAAUGGGAUUAGAUACCCUUGUAGUC
RNAcentral lists this ribosomal RNA (440 nucleotides) under uncultured bacterium. RNAcentral describes it as "bacterial SSU rRNA". It matches the Rfam family "Bacterial small subunit ribosomal RNA", at positions 338 to 795 of the family's 1533-position model. The record is from RNAcentral.